GCGGCGUGCCUAACACAUGCAAGUCGAACGGAACUUCUUCGACAGAAUCUUCGGAAGGAAGUUGAUUAAGUUUAGUGGCGGACGGGUGAGUAACGCGUGAGUAACCUGCCUUUGAGAGGGGAAUAACUUCCCGAAAGGGAUGCUAAUACCGCAUGACGCAUAUUUAUCGCAUGGUAGAUAUGCCAAAGAUUUAUCGCUCAAAGAUGGACUCGCGUCCGAUUAGCCAGUUGGCGGGGUAACGGCCCACCAAAGCGACGAUCGGUAGCCGGACUGAGAGGUUGAACGGCCACAUUGGGACUGAGACACGGCCCAGACUCCUACGGGAGGCAGCAGUGGGGGAUAUUGCGCAAUGGGGGAAACCCUGACGCAGCAACGCCGCGUGAAGGAUGAAGGUUUUCGGAUUGUAAACUUCUUUUAUUUAGGACGAACAAUGACGGUACUAAAUGAAUAAGCUCCGGCUAACUACGUGCCAGCAGCCGCGGUAAUACGUAGGGAGCAAGCGUUAUCCGGAUUUACUGGGUGUAAAGGGUGCGUAGGCGGCUUGGUAAGUCAGAUGUGAAAUGUAUGGGCUCAACCCAUGCACUGCAUUUGAAACUAUUGAGCUUGAGUGAAGUAGAGGUAGGCGGAAUUCCCUGUGUAGCGGUGAAAUGCGUAGAGAUAGGGAGGAACACCAGUGGCGAAGGCGGCCUAC
This 691-nucleotide ribosomal RNA is filed under the name uncultured Lachnospiraceae bacterium. RNAcentral's name for it is "bacterial SSU rRNA". It matches the Rfam family "Bacterial small subunit ribosomal RNA", at positions 39 to 729 of the family's 1533-position model. Lineage: Bacteria; Bacillati; Bacillota; Clostridia; Lachnospirales; Lachnospiraceae. The record is from RNAcentral.